This 435-nucleotide ribosomal RNA is filed under the name uncultured organism. RNAcentral's name for it is "bacterial SSU rRNA". It matches the Rfam family "Bacterial small subunit ribosomal RNA", at positions 29 to 507 of the family's 1533-position model. The record is from RNAcentral.
AGCGAACGCUGGCGGCAGGCUUAACACAUGCAAGUCGAGCGGGCGUAGCAAUACGUCAGCGGCAGACGGGAGAGUAAUACGUGGGAACGUGCCCUUUGGUUCGGAAUAACUCAGGGAAACUUGAGCUAAUACCGGAUAAGCCCUUACGGGGAAAGAUUUAUCGCCAUUGGAGCGGCCCACGUCUGAUUAGCUAGUUGGUGAGGUAACGGCUCACCAAGGCGACGAUCAGUAGCUGGUCUGAGAGGAUGACCAGCCUCAUUGGGACUGAGACACGGCCCAAACUCCUACGGGAGGCAGCAGUGGGGAAUAUUGGACAAUGGGCGAAAGCCUGAUCCAGCCAUGCCGCGUGAGUGAUGAAGGCCUUAGGGUUGUAAAGCUCUUUUAGCAGGGAAGAUAAUGACGGUACCUGCAGAAAAAGCCCCGGCUAACUUCGUG